Molecule: non-coding RNA, 2253 nt
Organism: Poecilia reticulata (guppy)
Lineage: Eukaryota; Metazoa; Chordata; Actinopteri; Cyprinodontiformes; Poeciliidae
Source: RefSeq, a predicted model, not a curated record
AUUAAUUAGCGGGAUUAUGUAGAACUAAAACCGGGAAGACCGUGGUUCUUGAGGACUGGAGCUGGACUCCCAUGCUAAGUGUUAAAAACAAGUAAAACAGGCAGACGAAUCCCACGAUGAAGCAGAGACUCAAGCCGACUCCAAGACAGGCGAGGCCGACGAUGUGGAUGGUGUUGAGCUUCUCCUCCAGGGACUCUGAAAUACAUCGACACGAUUCAAUGGAAGGCUGACCUCCAUCACCACGGCCUGCUCCGGGGACAGGCUGUAGUUGUGGGGCAACGGCGCGGUGCCGUUCAUCAGCUGCACCGCCACCUGGAACGACCCCAGACCCGUGAGCACAUCAUUGAUCGUGUUGUACCUGGAGACGAACGGGAGACACAGCUGGAAUGAUUUCGCUUCUUAUUGCAAGCAGCACAGUUAUUUGCAAAGAGUUUAACACUUUGAGAGACCACUUGAUGCUGUUGUUUGUCAAAGGAGAAAUAAAGUAAGUUUGCGCAUAUUUAGAGCUAGGAAGAUAAGUUGAACACAAAAUCUGCAAACUGGAGGAAUAAGUUUAACCCACACUCCUCUAUUAUCCGAGUAGUGAUAAAUAUAUUUGUUUUCCAUUUGUAAAAAAAAAAAAAAAAAAAAACUUUUUUGCAAUUAAAUUAAAAGCCAUUAGCCACUUUUGAGCAAAUUUUCAAAUAAGACAUUGAACCUGAAGAGGGCGCUGUUGGCAGUAUUGUUGAACAUGACCUACAGACCCGGACGGCCUAAAUCUCACAGUCUGCCACUGGUUGAGACUUUCAGGCAAGAAUCAGUUAAGAAGCAGUCUUUUUUUUUUUUUCUUCCAUAAUAUCUUUUUAAUUCUUCCCAGUAGUUCUUUGGCAACAGUGCGAAUAUAGAAUUAAAUUACAGUUUAUAAAACUGUUCAAAGGAAAUAUUUUAUGCACUCUUGAAAAGAUGUACACUUUUAUAUAAACAGUCAUAUUCAAUAAGUCGUAAUGUGUUCUGAUGAGGCUUGUUUGUCAGAUUUAAAGUAUCCUGUGAAAAUCAAAUGCAAGCAGAUAUUAAAUAUGCUUUUCAUGAAGCCCACAUUAAUGUAUUACAUUAUUGAUCAGAUGUAAUAUUCUCAUUUUAAAUGUUUUUCUUUCUUUAGCUGUAAGCAGAAAAUUAUGAUUAACAGAAAUAAAAUGUGCAGAAUUAAUUUGUUUCACUUUGUGAAAUUAGUUCUUCAAAUAAACGUCUUAAAAUUCUCAUUUAUGAACAUGAGUGCAUAUAUUUCAUAUCAACAAGCAGUGACGUUGUCUCUUAGACUAAAAAGACUUGCUAUGUAUUACUAUCUAUCACACCAAUGGUGUCAAGAAGAAAUAUACAUAUCCCAUACUUGCUGAGACAACAGAGACUUUUGCCAUAUCUGUGAUUUUAGCUAGCUUGAAAGCUAGUACCACCAUUCCCCUCCAACUAAUGGGAGAUUUUAUCCCUCUUGGCCUGAUCACCAACACUGUCACUGGAUCCUGAACUUCCUUACUGAGAGAUUCCAGUCUGUCACUCUAUCCAGCUACAUGUUGGGACUCCUCAGGGCUGUGUGCUCAGUCCCUUGCUUUUCACAUUGAGGAAAACCCUGAUCACAAAAUUUUACAGAUGUUAUCAAAGUAUUUGGUAUUCUUCAUUUAAUUUCCAUUUGGUACUUUUGAAUAAAGGACGCGUGCAGACAACAACCUGGUGGUCAAUGCGUACAACAGAGAAAUGACAAUCAUCAGUGCAUCCACUCACAUGUAGAGAAGAUGGUGCCUUGCACUUAAAGUCCUCUGGGUUCAGAUCACAUUACCUCACCACUGUGUUUAUGAAAUACACCCAGCAGAGACUAGACAUUCUGAGAAAAAUGAAACAUUAUUUCCCAUCACUACCUUCUCAACUACUGCUGGGAUUGGAUGUGUUGACAUAUUGUAUCUUGGGUUGGUACUCCAACCACAAUGUAGCAGACGAGAAGGCCCUUCAGAGGACAGUGAGGACAGCUAACUGGAUCAUUGGAGUGACCCUACUACUCUCUCUCCAGGAUAUGUUUCAGAGCUCCUUCACAAGAGGUUACUGAACAUCAUCAGCGAUGUGACAAUAUAAUUGAUGGUACAAGAUAUUAUUUUAUAUAUGUAAUCUAAAUUAUUUCAUGAGUCACUGUUUUUCCCCCUAACUUGUUAAGAAAUGUUGGCUCAUUUUAUUGACGCUUUACAAUGAAUUGUAGUUUUAGUAGAGCAAGCAUGACUUUAAGAUCAA